CCCCACGCGAGGUCACGCGCGCUGUCCUCGCCAAUAGGCAGCUGCGGCCGGAGCGGCGUGGGUCUCGCGGGAGCGCGCGGCGGUAUUUAGUGGCCGGCGAGGCGCUGCUCGGUCCUUCUGUCCGCCGGCUGUGGGCGCGUGUGUCCCGAGGAAGCGGCGAGCCCUUCAAUGCCCGCCAUGGGCAGGAGCCCUGGCGCCGCUGGCCCGGGCAGGCCCAGCGCUGGCGGCCUGCGCUCACCGCCUGGGACGCCCAUGGGCGAGGGACACACAGUAGGAGCUCAGCGCUCCUACUGCAGCCUGGGGCUGAGGCCUCACAUAGCAACCUCAUGCUGGAAAUGUUUUAGACAUGGGUAA
RNAcentral lists this long non-coding RNA (354 nucleotides) under Zonotrichia albicollis (white-throated sparrow). RNAcentral describes it as "lncRNA (ENSZALG00000014047.1)". Lineage: Eukaryota; Metazoa; Chordata; Aves; Passeriformes; Passerellidae. The record is from RNAcentral.